AGUGAACGCUGGCGGGGGGCCUAACACAUGCAAGUCGAACGGCAGCACCGUAAGCGCUUGGUGUGGCGGGUGGCGGGUGGCGGGCGGGUGAGGAAUGCAUCGGAAUCUACUUUUUCGUGGGGGAUAACGGAGGAAGGGUUACGCUAAUACCGCAUACGACCUCCGGUGGGAGGGGGGGGAGAGUCUGACUCUGCGGGUGGGGGUGGGCCGGUGGCUUAUUAGCUUGUUGGUGGGGUAGUGGCUCACCAAGGCUUUGACGGGUAGCCGGCCUGAGAGGGUGACCGGCCACAUUGGGACUGAGAUACGGCCCAGACUCCUACGGGAGGCAGCAGUGGGGAAUAUUGCACAAUGGGCGGAAGCCUGAUGCAGCAACGCCGCGUGCGGGAUGACGGCCUUCGGGUUGUAAACCGCUUUCGCCUGUGACGAAGCGUGAGUGACGGUAAUGGGUAAAGAAGCACCGGCUAACUACGUG
This 472-nucleotide ribosomal RNA is filed under the name uncultured bacterium. RNAcentral's name for it is "partial 16S ribosomal RNA". It matches the Rfam family "Bacterial small subunit ribosomal RNA", at positions 28 to 507 of the family's 1533-position model. The record is from RNAcentral.